UCGAUGCCCGGGAUUUCGUCGGCCUUAACAAUAUCGUUCCUAAGUUAGCGAAAUUCCUUGUCGUGCAUGUUCCGACCUGCACGUAUGGCGUAAUGUUGGCCAGGCUGUCGCCUCACGAGACUCAGUGAUAUUGAACUCGCUGUGAAGAUGCUGUGUUCCCGCUGCAAGACGGUAUGAGCCCGUGUUCCUUUUCUAUAGAUUGACACUGAACAUUGAGCCUUGUUGUGUUUGAUAGGUGUGUGGCUUUGUAG
This 251-nucleotide ribosomal RNA is filed under the name Salmonella enterica subsp. enterica serovar Typhimurium. RNAcentral's name for it is "partial 23S ribosomal RNA". It matches the Rfam family "Bacterial large subunit ribosomal RNA", at positions 1912 to 2162 of the family's 2925-position model. The record is from RNAcentral. Lineage: Bacteria; Pseudomonadati; Pseudomonadota; Gammaproteobacteria; Enterobacterales; Enterobacteriaceae.